GGAGAGAUGGCCGAGAAGGUCGAAGGCGGUCGCCUGCUAAGCGACUAUACGGACCUAAAAUCCGUAUCGAGGGUUCGAAUCCCUCUCUCUCCGCCA
This 96-nucleotide transfer RNA is filed under the name Thermovenabulum gondwanense. RNAcentral's name for it is "tRNA-Ser". It matches the Rfam family "tRNA". Rfam says of the family: Transfer RNA (tRNA) molecules are approximately 80 nucleotides in length. Their secondary structure includes four short double-helical elements and three loops (D, anti-codon, and T loops). The record is from RNAcentral. Lineage: Bacteria; Bacillati; Bacillota; Clostridia; Thermosediminibacterales; Thermosediminibacteraceae. RNAcentral also lists the same sequence under 1 other name.